Molecule: RNA transcript, 1377 nt
Organism: Pistacia vera
Lineage: Eukaryota; Viridiplantae; Streptophyta; Magnoliopsida; Sapindales; Anacardiaceae
Gene name: WUSCHEL-related homeobox 13
Exons: 4
Source: RefSeq, a predicted model, not a curated record
AAGACAAAACAAAGGCUUUGAAAAGCAAGAGCUGGUGCUAAAGUACGCCGGAGGGGACAUAAACCCACCUUCCAUCAUCGCCUCACUUUCUUCCACGCCUAUUCUUUAUUGUCUUCUUGUCCGUUUCCUUCUUUUUCCCACUCAAAACACUGACUUCUCUUUCGGUUUCACAGGGAGAGCUCUCAAAAGAAAAAAGGUUUGAUUGAGCUUGAUGUAAUUGUACUGCGUGUGAAGUGAGCAAGAGCAAGAAGAUGAUGGAAUGGGAUAAUCAAGAAUCGUUGGAGAAUCAUCAGAAUAAUAAUAAUAAUAAUAGUAAUAAUAAUAACAACAAUAAUAAUAGUAACCAGAGAGGUGAUCAGAAUGGAAGUAGUGUUAAUGGAGCAAUGUAUGUGAAGGUUAUGACUGAUGAACAACUUGAAACUCUGAGGAAACAGAUUGCGGUUUACGCUACUAUUUGUGAUCAGCUCGUUGAAAUGCAUAAAUCCCUCUCUGCCCAGCAAGAUCUUGCAGGAGCCCGGUUAGGGAAUCUCUACUGUGAUCCAUUGAUGACUUCUUCCGGGCACAAGAUUACGGCCAGACAGAGGUGGACUCCGACGCCUGUGCAGCUUCAAAUUCUUGAGAGCAUCUUUGAUCAAGGAAAUGGAACUCCAAGCAAGCAAAAGAUUAAAGAGAUAACCUCUGAGCUCAGCCAGCAUGGCCAAAUAUCUGAAACAAAUGUCUACAAUUGGUUCCAAAAUAGACGUGCUAGAUCAAAGAGGAAGCAAAUAGUUGCUUCAUCGUCUAAUGCUGAAUCAGAAGUAGAGACAGAGGUUGAUUCAAUGAUUGAACAGAAGGCUAAACCAGAAAACUUUAGCUCCCAACAGAACACAGCUCCUAGGGCUGAUGAUCUUUGCUUUCAAAGCAACGAGAUUGCCCCUGAACUGCAUUUUCUGGGCGUUUUGUCAAAUGCAAUAACUUCAGAAUAGCUUUGAUGUCCUCUGAAAGAUGUCAGUAGAUGUCAAUCAAGUAAUGGUGCAUAUUUCCUGGAGAUGAACACCUAUCUGGAAAAAUGGGAAUGGGAGGGAGCUACAAUCUUUAUGAGCAUGCAGAAGACUACAGCAUGGCUGGGUGACAGAGACUCAUUAUAAUAAUUUUAUUAGCUGUGAUUAAUUUGUCUGACAAAGUUUAUGUAAUGAGUAGAAGCCAUGAUAUGAAGAGGUAGUUUCACUUCAGUCUGAUUAUUGAAACUUACACCAUUAAUGCCUGAUGUAGCAAAGUUUCAUCUUCUUCUGGUUUGAUAUUUUUAUCAAAUGAACUGGUUUAUGUAAUUUGAAGAAUGAACUUUCUUUACAGUAUGUAUGGCAUUAAUAUAAUUUUGUAUUGGCUUUUGAGUUUCAA